AUUUCAUACUUUUCCAUUUUAAGUGGUUUAAGUUCAUGCAAUAUCCUAAACCUUUUCCUUUGAAUUUAUCCUAAAGUGUUUGGGUCUUCAAACUAAUUCCUUUAUCAUUUACAGUGUUGCAGCAGAGCCUAAUUUGAAGGAGUCGACUGCAAGGAAAAAAAUUUAUGACAAAUGUGAUGAAACUGUUAGAAUUGCAAUGGUGGGAAAAUACACAGGCCUUUCAGAUGCAUAUCUUUCUGUUCUCAAGGAUCCUGAGGCAUAUAAAGUUGC
This 270-nucleotide small RNA is filed under the name Vigna angularis var. angularis. RNAcentral's name for it is "Non-protein coding transcript". Lineage: Eukaryota; Viridiplantae; Streptophyta; Magnoliopsida; Fabales; Fabaceae. The record is from RNAcentral.